CUCUUUUUCAUUUCUUGAGUGUCUUAAAAAAAGGACGACGUUCUCUUGUUUUAUAAACACGCGUUUUAUUGAUUGAAACUGAACCUUUGAAUCAGUUCCGCGGUUAUAUAAGCCCUGGUCUUGUGUCGCUCUGUUAUUGUAUUAUUUGAUUUACGAUUAAUAUGAAGGUUUUCGUGAUUGUUGCAGUGUUCGCUUUCGUGGCUGUCCAGCUGAGCCAAUCAGCUCCCGCUCCGGAUGAUGUGAAGAAGGAGGCAGCUGCACCAGCAGCAGUCGCCGUUGAAACCGUUUCACCAGUCGCAUUGGAAAAGUCGUCGCCGGAAGCAGUUGUUAGUAAAUCCCAACCAGCAGCGGCCGAGCGACAAGUGGAAGAGAAGAAAUCAUAAAUACUAGCUAUCAUUUUCUGAAUAUCCACAUUUAAUUUACAUUUAAUGUUUUAGUAAUAAAGUCUGAUAUCUGCAAUCUCAUCAUCCUCAUUUAUUAGUAUUUUUGCGAAUCUUCUCCAUACUUAACUUAAGAGAAUAAUUUAAAUAAAUUACCAAGAAUUAUAA
Molecule: long non-coding RNA, 548 nt
Organism: Melitaea cinxia (Glanville fritillary)
Lineage: Eukaryota; Metazoa; Arthropoda; Insecta; Lepidoptera; Nymphalidae
Exons: 4
Source: RefSeq, a predicted model, not a curated record